RNAcentral lists this ribosomal RNA (742 nucleotides) under bacterium enrichment culture clone SC-2_89. RNAcentral describes it as "bacterial SSU rRNA". It matches the Rfam family "Bacterial small subunit ribosomal RNA", at positions 1 to 744 of the family's 1533-position model. The record is from RNAcentral.
UAGAGUUUGAUCCUGGCUCAGAUUGAACGCUGGCGGCAUGCCUUACACAUGCAAGUCGGACGGCAGCGCGGGCUUCGGCCUGGCGGCGAGUGGCGAACGGGUGAGUAAUACAUCGGAACGUGUCCUGGAGUGGGGGAUAGCCCGGCGAAAGCCGGAUUAAUACCGCAUACGCUCUGCGGAGGAAAGCGGGGGACCUUCGGGCCUCGCGCUCAAGGGGCGGCCGAUGGCAGAUUAGCUAGUUGGUGGGGUAAAGGCCUACCAAGGCGACGAUCUGUAGCUGGUCUGAGAGGACGACCAGCCACACUGGGACUGAGACACGGCCCAGACUCCUACGGGAGGCAGCAGUGGGGAAUUUUGGACAAUGGGGGCAACCCUGAUCCAGCAAUGCCGCGUGUGUGAAGAAGGCCUUCGGGUUGUAAAGCACUUUUGUCCGGAAAGAAAGCGUCCUGGCUAAUACCCGGGGCGGAUGACGGUACCGGAAGAAUAAGCACCGGCUAACUACGUGCCAGCAGCCGCGGUAAUACGUAGGGUGCGAGCGUUAAUCGGAAUUACUGGGCGUAAAGCGUGCGCAGGCGGUUCGCUAAGACCGAUGUGAAAUCCCCGGGCUUAACCUGGGAACUGCAUUGGUGACUGGCGGGCUAGAGUAUGGCAGAGGGAGGUAGAAUUCCACGUGUAGCAGUGAAAUGCGUAGAGAUGUGGAGGAAUACCGAUGGCGAAGGCAGCCUCCUGGGCCAAUACUGAC